RNAcentral lists this unclassified non-coding RNA (255 nucleotides) under fungal sp. RNAcentral describes it as "partial internal transcribed spacer region". The stretch from base 1 to 46 matches the Rfam family "Eukaryotic small subunit ribosomal RNA", at positions 1786 to 1831 of the family's 1831-position model. The record is from RNAcentral. Lineage: Eukaryota; Fungi.
AAGUCGUAACAAGGUUUCCGUAGGUGAACCUGCGGAAGGAUCAUUACCAAAUCCAAAUUACCUAACCCCAUGUGAACUAUUGUUAUAGUCUGUCUUUGGGAGAAAUUUUCAUUAGUUUCUCCCAAUAGAGUCCGGCAUAACUGUAAUGGUUGUGUCCAGAUUCGAAAACCUUUAAACCACUUGAUUUUUUGUUGGAAUUUUCUUUUAUUAAUUUUCAAUAAAAGACAACUUUUAACGGCGGAUCUCUUGGCUCGU